GUCAGGUUGGCCGAGCGGUCUAAGGCGCCAGAUUUAAGCUCUGGUUCCCCUAGGGGAGCGUGGGUUCGAAUCCCACAUCUGACA
This is a transfer RNA of Oryctes borbonicus, 84 nucleotides long. It matches the Rfam family "tRNA". Rfam says of the family: Transfer RNA (tRNA) molecules are approximately 80 nucleotides in length. Their secondary structure includes four short double-helical elements and three loops (D, anti-codon, and T loops). Further hydrogen bonds mediate the characteristic L-shaped molecular structure. tRNAs have two regions of fundamental functional importance: the anti-codon, which is responsible for specific mRNA codon recognition, and the 3' end, to which the tRNAs corresponding amino acid is attached (by aminoacyl-tRNA synthetases). tRNAs cope with the degeneracy of the genetic code in two manners: having more than one tRNA (with a specific anti-codon) for a particular amino acid; and 'wobble' base-pairing, i.e. permitting non-standard base-pairing at the 3rd anti-codon position. The record is from Rfam. Lineage: Eukaryota; Metazoa; Arthropoda; Insecta; Coleoptera; Scarabaeidae.